UCGAGAAUAAUUCGCAAUGGACGAAAGUCUGACGAUGCGACGCCGCGUGAACGAUGAAGGCCUUCGGGUUGUAACGUUCUGUUGUCCUGGAACAAGAGUCGCUGACGAAUAGUGAGCGACGAUGAGGGUACAGGAAGAGGAAGCACCGGCUAAUUCCGUGCCAGCAGCUGCGGUAAUACGGAAGGUGCAAGCGUUAGUCGGAGUUACUGGGCGUAAAGGGCGCGUAGGUGGAUAUUUAAGUCGGAUGUGAAAUCCCCGGGCUUAACCUGGGAAUUGCAUUCGAUACUGGAUAUCUCGAGUAUGGUAGAGGAAAGCGGAAUUCCCGGUGUAGCGGUGAAAUGCGUAGAUAUCGGGAAGAACAUCAGGGCGAAGGCGGCUUUCUGGACUGUAACUGACACUGAGGCACGAAAGCGUGGGGAGCAAACA
This 426-nucleotide ribosomal RNA is filed under the name uncultured prokaryote. RNAcentral describes it as "bacterial SSU rRNA". It matches the Rfam family "Bacterial small subunit ribosomal RNA", at positions 355 to 774 of the family's 1533-position model. The record is from RNAcentral.